Molecule: transfer RNA, 75 nt
Filed under: Sideroxydans sp.
Lineage: Bacteria; Pseudomonadati; Pseudomonadota; Betaproteobacteria; Nitrosomonadales; Gallionellaceae
Also listed under: 1 other name
Description: tRNA-Gln
Rfam family: tRNA
About the family: Transfer RNA (tRNA) molecules are approximately 80 nucleotides in length. Their secondary structure includes four short double-helical elements and three loops (D, anti-codon, and T loops).
Source: RNAcentral
UGGGGAGUCGCCAAGCGGUAAGGCAACGGGUUUUGAUCCCGUCAUUCGUAGGUUCGAUCCCUACCUCCUCAGCCA